CUGCUUUGGCAGCACAUAUCCUAAAAUUGGAAUGAUGCAGAGAAGGUUAGUGUGGCCCAUGUGUAAGGAUGGCACACAAAUUUGUGAAGUGUCCCAUAUAAAA
Colobus angolensis palliatus is the source of this 103-nucleotide small nuclear RNA. NCBI's taxonomy places the organism in Eukaryota, Metazoa, Chordata, Mammalia, Primates, Cercopithecidae. The record is from Ensembl.